UCGCGGUGCUUUCAUUCAUAAACAAACCACCAUCGCGAGUGGAUUGGUGCACGAGCGUAGUUGCACGAUCGCGGUUGGCGCGCGUGUCGUCGCUCCCGCUCCGUGGCGGGGGUGGACAAGACGUCGUCGUCGCGUGUGCGUUCUUUACGUAGCCACUGCUACUUCCGGACCGGCGGCGACGCGACAGUUUUUCCUUCCGCGAAAACGAGGAAUAACCAACAACCCCAUCAAUUACUCCGCCGCGGUUGUAUCCGAAUUACCGCGUGUGGAAUGUGCGGUGCAUGAAAAAAUAAGAAAGCAGACAUGCAGAAGAUAACGAAUCGAACAUAAACAAACGUUUCGAUUGUUGUGAAUAUAAGUGCUAGGAAGAUAAGAAUGAUAAUAAGGAUAAUGUGUUGCUAGAAUGUAAUAUUUGUAUGUCUAUACUACUAUUAUACGGUUGUUCCCGCAGUUGCUCUGGCAUGGCAGGAGCAAUUAUCGCCAAUGAUCAUUUUGAGAACCAGCAGCGGCCAGCGGAUAUACAUCGUUAAUUUGAAAAAUUUUCGGUGUUCUCCCAGACAAUGAAGCAGAAGUAAUUUUAAUCGAUUAUCUUCGCCUCCCAGAGGAACGCGGACGGCAAACUGCCUGGCAGUAGCGCGAACCAGUCGAAAACGAACGGAUCAAGAGCCCGCCAAUAGUAAAAAUGGGAAUGUUUUCUUGGACCGUGAAACUCGUUUUCGGCGGAUUUGCACUACUACGAUGGGACAAAGACACAAGUGCCACAGGAAGUCAUCGUCCCGGUUCGGUUUGCCCGGAAGGUCGUUCGGAGAAUAACCACACCACCUAUUUGUAAUUCGAGGGUCAUUCGGUUGAUCUGAGGAUUGGAAUCAACUCAUCACUUCGACACGGUGAUAUUUGUUUUGUUUCAAAUCAAUUUCUAUAAGAAAAUCAAGAAACUGUUAUAUUUUGCUAAUUUUUAUAAAACACUAAAAGUUCUAAAUUUUACAAACUUCUUCAAAAAUGUUGAGAUAUAUUCUAUUACAAUGAUUUCUUAUGUAGCAUAUUAGGUUUUGUAAAAUUUGAAAGUCUAAGAAACCAGAUCAGUCAGCUAAAUUGUAAUAAAACCUAAAAUGCUACCUAAUCAAACGUACAGGAAAUCGUUCAAAUGAUUAAGCUUAGAUUUUUCGACUUCAAGAAAAACUAUCCAUUGCAAACUCAUCAACACCACCUGAUGGAAGUCGAGAAGCGUAAGCUUAAGAGUUUGCGGUUAUACAGUGACUCCACACCGACGAAUCACCUCCAUAAUGCCCACUAUUUAUGAAUCGCCGUGUUGAUCGAACGAGUGAUUCAUAAACUGCGAACAUUUUUGUCGAUUUACAAAGUUUGGGGUCACUGUACUACCUGGCGCGUUUACUGAAUGAACGCGAGGAAAGCGUAGAUUGAAAAUCACUUUCCGGACAGUCUAUUUAUUAUGAUAAAGAAGCACAACUGAAAGUCUAGUUGAAGCGCAAAAAAUAAUGAGCAGGAACAAGGUGCAAAGGAAGCGCUUAAGUAGAGAACAAAUACGUACAAUAGGUAGUUGCUUUUCUUCUCUCCCUAAAUUAAUUCUUAUUAACGAUAAUUUAUAGAGUAAUGACGUUUUCUUUUAACCGUGAAAUCAGAUAAUGGUAGAACAUUAUUACACUGUUUAACCGGGAGUCAGCAGAAAAAACGGCGCAAAACACAAAAUGUACCGUUUGGUGAGCGACUUCACGGGUUUUGAACAACUCAGUGUUUUCCAGGAGAUGAUUGCUUUCGUUGCAUAUGAUAAAUGGCGAGGAACUUUCACAGCAUGGUACGAUAACAUUUGAUGCGAGGAUUUAACAACAAACAUCUAUCAUUGCUGCAGAAAGUGAGGAAGGAACUGAAAAAGGGAGCUAAAUGAUGCUGUUAACUGAAAUUCGAUUCAGAAUGCCUCUGUAAUUAUUAGAUUGUAACAACAGUGAAUAGUGAAACGAGAAAAGUCUUAUUAUAAAACUAGAGCAAACAAAUCAUACAGUACAUGUUUGUAGGGUAGCCACGAAGCAACCACCAUUCAUACCCCGCAUAGAGUUUAAGAGAGAUUUGAGCAUUAGAAAAUAUAAAAAAUAACAAUUUUUAUCAGCCAGCACAAUAGA
Aedes albopictus (Asian tiger mosquito) is the source of this 2135-nucleotide long non-coding RNA. RefSeq lists it as uncharacterized. The transcript has 3 exons. Lineage: Eukaryota; Metazoa; Arthropoda; Insecta; Diptera; Culicidae. The record is from RefSeq and is a predicted model, not a curated record.